CCUGACUCAGGAUGAACGCUAGCGACAGGCUAACACAUGCAAGUCGAGGGCAGCAUAGAAGUAGCAAUACUUGGUGGCGACCGGCGCACGGGUGAGUAACGCGUAUGACCAACCUACCUAUCAGGAAGGGGAACUAACCCGGCGAAAGUCGGACUAAUACCGCAUAAAACAGGGGCACCGCAUGGUGAUAUUUGUUAAAGAAAUUCGCUGAUAGAUGGGCAUGCGUUCCAUUAGGUAGUUGGUGAGGUAACGGCUCACCAAGCCGACGAUGGAUAGGGGAACUGAGAGGUUGGUCCCCCACACUGGUACUGAGACACGGACCAGACUCCUACGGGAGGCAGCAGUGAGGAAUAUUGGUCAAUGGGCGGGAGCCUGAACCAGCCAAGUCGCGUGAAAGGAAGAAGGAUCUAUGGUUCGUAAACUUCUUUUGCAGGGGAAUAAAGUGCGGGACGUGUCCUGUUUUGUAUGUACCCUGAGAAUAAGGAUCGGCUAACUCCGUGCCAGCAGCUGC
RNAcentral lists this ribosomal RNA (511 nucleotides) under uncultured bacterium. RNAcentral's name for it is "bacterial SSU rRNA". It matches the Rfam family "Bacterial small subunit ribosomal RNA", at positions 18 to 518 of the family's 1533-position model. The record is from RNAcentral.